RNAcentral lists this ribosomal RNA (401 nucleotides) under uncultured bacterium. RNAcentral describes it as "bacterial SSU rRNA". It matches the Rfam family "Bacterial small subunit ribosomal RNA", at positions 362 to 777 of the family's 1533-position model. The record is from RNAcentral.
UAUUGGGCAAUGGGCGCAAGCCUGACCCAGCAACGCCGCGUGAAGGAAGAAGGCUUUCGGGUUGUAAACUUCCUUUCUCAGGGACGAAGCAAGUGACGGUACCUGAGGAAUAAGCCACGGCUAACUACGGUCCAGCAGCCGCGGUAAUACGUAGGUGGCAAGCGUUAUCCGGAUUUAAUGGGGGUAAAGGGCGUGUAGGCGGGGACGCAAGUCAGAUGUGAAAACCACGGGCUCAACCUGUGGCCUGCAUUUGAAACUGUGUUUCUUGAGUACUGGAGAGGCAGACGGAAUUCCUCGUGUAGCGGUGAAAUGCGUAGAUAUGAGGAGGAACACCAGUGGCGAAGGCGGUCUGCUGGACAGCAACUGACGCUGAGGCGCGAAAGCGUGGGGAGCAAACAGGA